GCGGCCCCGGCGUGCGGCGGGCAGGCGAUACCAAGUGUGGGGAAGGGAGGGGUUCUCCGCGAGCGGGACGCCCACUCCGCGCUGUGUCGGCGCACCCCGCCCCGCGGCCACCCCUCCGGUGACUGCGCUGUGAGGGGCGACCUCGGCGCGGGGGCGGGGCCGGCCUUGCGGCGCUGGGCCUUUGAGUGGAAGGCGGGAAAUGGCGGAGGCUUCAGGCCGCGGCGCGGGGAAGCCCUCUGCAUCCGGGCCUGGUACCCCCGGCGGCUCCAGGGCCAGAGGGAAAAGGGCACAAGGUGGGAGAGUAGUGGAGUCCCGCUACCUGCAGUACGAGCGGAAGGCAGCCAGAAAGGCUCCUGCCGCGGACGCUGCUGUCAGAGCUGGCGGGAAGGUGGCGGAGGGCGUGAGGAGAGCCAGCCAGCUGCCCAAGGGCUCAGAUGGCAGUGGUGUGGGCCAGGGCGACCUGCAGUCCACCUUGCUGGAGGGGCACGGCACUGCACCGCCCGACCUGGACCUCUCAGCCAUCAACGACAAAAGCAUGGUCAGGAAGACACCUCAGUUAGAGAAGACGCUGUCACGGAAGCCUAAGGCGACAUCCUUCACGGCCCCGCCGAGGAAGAGCCCGGACUCCCUGGAGGUGGUGGAGGUGGUGGUGUCCCAGACGUUACUGCUGACCCUGCUGACGGUGCAGAUGGAGAACGGGCUGGCACGGCUGGAGGAGAAGGCGGAACGGAGCCUGCUCGCCAUGUGCCGGGAGCAGGCCCGGCUGCAGCAGAAGGCCCACGAGCUGAGGCGCGAGCUGCUGCUCCGGCAGAGGCGCCGGGAGCUGGGAGGCAUACUGGACGCCCAGGUGGAGACACUGCGCCCCUUUGAGGCGGUGGCUGGGCGCUUCCAGGAGCGGUACAGGACGCUGGCCACAGCCCUGGACACCACCCGGCACGAGCUGCCCGUGAGCGCCAUCCACCUGGAACGCGACGGCCGGCAGCUGCUCGGUAGGGUGAAGGCCGCUCACAUGCCCUGGAGCCCGGGCGGGCGGGUGGGCAAGACCGCAGGAAUGAGAUGGCAGCCAGGCGUGGGGCGGGCGGGUGUCCUGGCCUGCUGCAGGCGCUAGGCCCCUGAGCCUGAUACCCGUCCUCCCCAGACAGCCUGCAAGCCGAGCUGACAACCACCCAGCGCCUUCUGGCUGAGCUGGGCCUGGGCGACAGCGAGGAGCAUGGGCAGGUGCUGGCCCUGUUGGCCGAGCUCAGGGACGUGACCACGCAGAAGGACCACGAGCUCCGGAGGUGGCCGUGACACUGGGACGGGGGUGGCUCCGCUCCCAGGGCAGAGGGGCAGCCAGCAGGGGUCACUGUCACAUGGUAGCCCAGAGAGUGCAUGGUCCCAAGCA
Molecule: long non-coding RNA, 1384 nt
Filed under: Chinchilla lanigera (long-tailed chinchilla)
Lineage: Eukaryota; Metazoa; Chordata; Mammalia; Rodentia; Chinchillidae
Description: lncRNA (ENSCLAG00000023756.1)
Source: RNAcentral